Long non-coding RNA from Magallana angulata, 2426 nucleotides. RefSeq lists it as uncharacterized. Lineage: Eukaryota; Metazoa; Mollusca; Bivalvia; Ostreida; Ostreidae. The transcript has 2 exons. The record is from RefSeq and is a predicted model, not a curated record.
CCUAAAAAUAUGCUGGGUAUUUUUUUAAAUACAGGAUCUGAUAUUACUUAUUCAACUCAUACUGUUAUAUAAAAGAAUAUUCAUUGUGUAUUUUUUUAUUGUUGAAUUUUUUUUAUGCUGAUCAAUUACAGAUUAAAUUUGGCCAUUAUGAUUUUCAAUUUUUGUCAUAUUGGCAUGUAACCAAGUCAUACUUUUUUUAUCUCAAUUUAUUUACAAAUAUGUUUAAGUUUAUUUCCAGUAAUUAGUGCAUACAUCUUUAUAGCAUAAUAGAACUGAAGACAAUAGGAAGUUAUUUAUUUUUAAAGGGAGCUCUGUUGGCAGUUAGUUGCAGAUCUUGAUACCCAAGUAAGAGAAAGGUGGCGUCUCUGACCAAUCCUUUUGCUCUUGCUUGUGGGCGAGUGAGGCUUCCCUGUCAAAGGCUUGUAUAAGUUUAAAAUCGUAGAUCAAAUUAUAAACUGAACACAUAUAUGAGUGAUAUAAAGUGGUUAUUUUAAUGAAUAUUUUAUCAUUAUUUGUUUCUUUUGUUCUAAGUAAAGAGUUAGAGACUAGAUUUUUGAUAAUUUAUUGAGUAAAGAGUAGUUUUUAUAGACAUCUAGGCAGUUAUACCGGACUUUUUGUAUGUAUAUCUUUCAGAGCUUGUUCCUGAAACUUGGGCGUAGACUAGAAAAUAUACGGAAAAAAUACAAUUUUUAUCUCAAGUUAUUUUAAUCUACAUAUUUAUACAAGUUUCACUUAUAUAAUUAAUUAGCUUAAUUAGCUCUAUAGUGAACAAAAUUUGUUGUUAAAAAUAUACAGGAGACAAUGAACAAGUAUUUUGAAAGGGCUUUGCUGGCAGUAAGUUGCAGAUCUUGAUACCCAAGUAAGAGAAAGGUGGUGUCUCUGACCGAUCCUUUUGCUCUUGCUUGUGGGCGAGUGAGGCUUCCCUGUCAGUUUCUUACAGAUGCAAGAAAUAAACAAGACUUGAUAAGACAUUUCUGAGUAAAAUAUUGGGGAAACUGUUUUCUUUUUAUGAUAAGUAAGAUUGAGUUGAAUAUUUAUAGUGUCAUAACUAUAUUUUACAUUCUGUACAUGCAUAUGCCAGGUCUUAUUUCAGACCUUAAUAGGAUAGACUAGAAGAAUUUUUAUUGCAAGUGAAUUUUAAGCAGGAGACAAUGAACAAGUAUUUUGAAAGGGCUUUGCUGGCAGUAAGUUGCAGAUCUUGAUACCCAAGUAAGAGAAAGGUGGUGUCUCUGACCGAUCCUUUUGCUCUUGCUUGUGGGCGAGUGAGGCUUCCCUGUCAGUUUCUUACAGAUGCAAGAAAUAAACAAGACUUGAUAAGACAUUUCUGAGUAAAAUAUUGGGGAAACUGUUUAUGAUAAGUAAGAUUGAGUUGAAUUUUUAUUGUGUCAAAACUUUUUUAAAUUUUGUACAUGCAUAUGCUUGAUCUUAUUCCAGACCUUAUAAGGAUAGACUAGAAGUAUUUUAUUGAAUUUCCAUGAUUUAAAUUUACCAUUUCGCCAAAUUUUGAUAAUCAAAUACGGUAUUGUUUGCAUUGGAAGUUUGUGUAAAUUAAAAUUAAUUUAUAUAUGUUCCAAAAUGUUAACUGAAUAGUCUGGUCAUUAGAAUAUGUAUUUUUCUUUUCUGUAUAAUAAAUUUUCAAUAUUAUAAUGUAAAACCUAAGGAAUUUUUUUUAGAUCACAUGAAGUGUUUAAAAUUAGAGAUUAGAGAUGCACAUUUACAUCCUAUUAUUGAACAAUUUGUUCAUUCAAUUUAGUAUAAUUUGGUAUUUGUAUGCAUCAUAUAUAUAAAUAUAUAGGGGUUUUCAACGCUAUUCAUAUAAUAUGAUUGUUAAUAUAUAUCUUCUCUGAAGUGGUUUUCAUGGAAACUCUUAUCUAUUUGCAGUUAUGAACUAUAGAGUAUGUAUGUUUCUAUGAAAACAUGCUAUUUUCAAAAUACAUGUACUAGGAAAGAGAAUUUGUGUGUUAAUAAAGUAAAUAAGCAAAAAAAAUGAUUACUUCAGUAUUGUCAACUUUUCUUUAUCCACAUGCAUUAUAUAGAAAAACUGACUUUGUCUUGUAAUUUAUAAUUUAUUUGCAGACCAUGCAGCAAUUUUUAUGGCUCUGUUUCAGUUGUGUUUUUAUUUCCUACUAGUCCAUAUAGAUUCCAUUAUUUCCAUUUAAUGUGUAUUAGCCUGCAUUUGCUUAAGUCAAAUGUGCAUUUCACAAUUCCAAAUUUGGACAUUUUACCUAAGUAUUUUUUAAGAACUAUAUCAGAAAUUUUAAUGGCAUCCAUUCCAUAUGUAUCUGAUCAUGACGUAUAUAUUGUAAUUUUCUAAAUUGUGACUUUUAUGCUUAAAACUUUGAAAUGUUUUGCUCAGUAAGAAUACAUGUAUUUUUUUUUUUUUUUACAUCUUUGAGACUUUAACAUGCAAUAAAAUCGAAUCUUAA